GGAGGGGUGGCAGAACGGCAAUGCACCGGUCUUGAAAACCGGCGGGGCGAGAGCCCCAUGUGGGUUCGAAUCCCACCCCCUCCG
Molecule: transfer RNA, 84 nt
Filed under: Candidatus Palauibacterales bacterium
Lineage: Bacteria; Pseudomonadati; Gemmatimonadota; Gemmatimonadia; Candidatus Palauibacterales
Description: tRNA-Ser
Rfam family: tRNA
About the family: Transfer RNA (tRNA) molecules are approximately 80 nucleotides in length. Their secondary structure includes four short double-helical elements and three loops (D, anti-codon, and T loops). Further hydrogen bonds mediate the characteristic L-shaped molecular structure. tRNAs have two regions of fundamental functional importance: the anti-codon, which is responsible for specific mRNA codon recognition, and the 3' end, to which the tRNAs corresponding amino acid is attached (by aminoacyl-tRNA synthetases). tRNAs cope with the degeneracy of the genetic code in two manners: having more than one tRNA (with a specific anti-codon) for a particular amino acid; and 'wobble' base-pairing, i.e. permitting non-standard base-pairing at the 3rd anti-codon position.
Source: RNAcentral